This 253-nucleotide ribosomal RNA is filed under the name uncultured bacterium. RNAcentral describes it as "partial 16S ribosomal RNA". It matches the Rfam family "Bacterial small subunit ribosomal RNA", at positions 524 to 776 of the family's 1533-position model. The record is from RNAcentral.
UACGAAGGGGGCUAGCGUUGCUCGGAAUCACUGGGCGUAAAGGGUGCGUAGGCGGGUUUUUAAGUCAGAGGUGAAAUCCUGGAGCUCAACUCCAGAACUGCCUUUGAUACUGGGAAUCUUGAGUAUGGAAGAGGUGAGUGGAACUGCGAGUGUAGAGGUGAAAUGCGUAGAUAUUCGCAAGAACACCAGUGGCGAAGGCGGCUCACUGGCCCGGUACUGACGCUGAGGCACGAAAGCGUGGGGAGCAAACAGG